UCANGAUGAACGCUGGCGACGUGGAUAAGGCAUGCAAGUCGAACGGUUGUAGCAAUACAACAGUGGCGAACGGGUUAGUAACACGUAGAUAUCAACCCUUUACUCGGGCAUAACCUGGAGAAAUCUAGGCUAAUUCCCGAUAGUCCGGAAACGGUAAAGAUUUUUCGGUAAAGGAUGAGUCUGCGUCCUAUCAGCUAGUUGGUGAGGUAAUGGCUCACCAAGGCAAUGACGGGUAGGCGGAGUGAGAGCUUGACCGCCAACAAUGGCACUGAGACACGGGCCAUACUCCUACGGGAGGCAGCAGUCGAGAAUAUUUGACAAUGGGCGAAAGCCUGAUCAAGCGACGUCGCGUGUGGGAUUAAGAUCUUCGGAUUGUAAACCACUUUUCUAGGGGAAGAACUUUGACUGUACCCUAGGAAUAAGGGGUGACUAAACUCGUGCCAGCAGUAGCGGUAAUACGAGUGCCCCAAGCGUUAUCCGGAUUUAUUGGGCGUAAAGGGUCUGUAGGUGGUUUGUUAAGUUUCUCGUUAAAGCUCCAGGGCUUAACCUUGGAAAAGCGGGAAAAACUGGCAAACUAGAGGAUGUUAGAGGCUGAUGGAACACUUGGUGAAGGGGUGGAAUCCGUUGAUAUCAAGUGGAACACCGAAAGCGAAAGCAAUCAGCUGGGACAGUCCUGACACUGAAAGACGAAAGCGUGGGGAGAGAAAAGGAUUAGAUACCCUUGUAUUCCACGCCUUAAACGAUGAAUACUAGCUAUUGCAAGUGUCGACCCUUGCAGUGGCGAAGCUAACGCGUUAAGUAUUCCGCCUGGGAAGUACGGCCGCAAGGCUAAANUC
RNAcentral lists this ribosomal RNA (836 nucleotides) under uncultured Microgenomates group bacterium. RNAcentral's name for it is "bacterial SSU rRNA". It matches the Rfam family "Bacterial small subunit ribosomal RNA", at positions 24 to 901 of the family's 1533-position model. The record is from RNAcentral.